GACGAACGCUGGCGGCGUGCUUAACACAUGCAAGUCGAACGAUGAAGCCUAGCUUGCUAGGUGGAUUAGUGGCGAACGGGUGAGUAAUACGUGAGUAACCUACCUUUAACUCUGGGAUAAGCCUGGGAAACUGGGUCUAAUACCGGAUACGACCAAUCUCCGCAUGGGGUGUUGGUGGAAAGCGUUAUGUAGUGGUUAUAGAUGGGCUCACGGCCUAUCAGCUUGUUGGUGAGGUAACGGCUCACCAAGGCGACGACGGGUAGCCGGCCUGAGAGGGUGACCGGCCACACUGGGACUGAGACACGGCCCAGACUCCUACGGGAGGCAGCAGUGGGGAAUAUUGCACAAUGGGCGCAAGCCUGAUGCAGCGACGCCGCGUGAGGGAUGACGGCCUUCGGGUUGUAAACCUCUGUUAGCAGGGAAGAAGAGAAAUUGACGGUACCUGCA
Molecule: ribosomal RNA, 447 nt
Filed under: Rothia mucilaginosa
Lineage: Bacteria; Bacillati; Actinomycetota; Actinomycetes; Micrococcales; Micrococcaceae
Description: bacterial SSU rRNA
Rfam family: Bacterial small subunit ribosomal RNA
Source: RNAcentral